This 440-nucleotide ribosomal RNA is filed under the name uncultured bacterium. Its description in RNAcentral is "partial 16S ribosomal RNA". It matches the Rfam family "Bacterial small subunit ribosomal RNA", at positions 338 to 795 of the family's 1533-position model. The record is from RNAcentral.
CCUACGGGUGGCAGCAGUGGGGAAUAUUGCACAAUGGGGGAAACCCUGAUGCAGCGACGCCGCGUGAGUGAAGAAGUAUUUCGGUAUGUAAAGCUCUAUCAGCAGGGAAGAAAAUGACGGUACCUGAUUAAGAAGCCCCGGCUAACUACGUGCCAGCAGCCGCGGUAAUACGGAGGGUGCAAGCGUUACUCGGAAUCACUGGGCGUAAAGAGCGCGUAGGCGGGAUAGCAAGUCAGAUGUGAAAGGUCGGGGCCCAACCCCGGGACUGCAUUGGAAACUGUUGAACUGGAGUACAGGAGAGGUAAGCGGAAUUCCUAGUGUAGCGGUGAAAUGCGUAGAUAUUAGGAGGAACACCAGUGGCGAAGGCGGCUUACUGGACUGUAACUGACGUUGAGGCUCGAAAGCGUGGGGAGCAAACAGGAUUAGAUACCCGUGUAGUC